UACGGAGGGUGCGAGCGUUGUUCGGAAUCAUUGGGCGUAAAGCGCGUGUAGGCGGCUUGGCAAGUCGGUUGUGAAAUCCCGGGGCCCAACCCCGUAACUGCAAUCGAAACUGCCUCGCUAGAGUCCCGGCGUGGAAGGCGGAAUUCCCGGGGUAGAGGUGAAAUUCGUAGAUAUCGGGAGGAACACCCGUGGCGAAGGCGGCCUUCUGGACGGUGACUGACGCUGCGACGCGACAGCGUGGGGAGCAAACAGG
This 253-nucleotide ribosomal RNA is filed under the name uncultured bacterium. RNAcentral's name for it is "partial 16S ribosomal RNA". It matches the Rfam family "Bacterial small subunit ribosomal RNA", at positions 524 to 776 of the family's 1533-position model. The record is from RNAcentral.